UCGAACGAUGAAGUUCCUUCGGGAAUGGAUUAGUGGCGAACGGGUGAGGAACACGUGAGAAGCCUGCCCCGGACUCUGGGAUAACACGAGGAAACUCGUGCUAAUACCGGAUACCUUCUUUUGGCCGCAUGGUCAGCUGAAGAAAGAUUUAUCGGUUUGGGAGGGUCUCGCGGCCUAUCAGCUAGUUGGCGGGGUAAUGGCCCACCAAGGCAUCGACGGGUAGCUGGUCUGAGAGGACGAUCAGCCACACUGGGACUGAGACACGGCCCAGACUCC
RNAcentral lists this ribosomal RNA (276 nucleotides) under unidentified marine bacterioplankton. RNAcentral's name for it is "partial 16S ribosomal RNA". It matches the Rfam family "Bacterial small subunit ribosomal RNA", at positions 62 to 339 of the family's 1533-position model. The record is from RNAcentral.